Non-coding RNA from Chelatococcus sp. CO-6, 52 nucleotides. The record is from Rfam. NCBI's taxonomy places the organism in Bacteria, Pseudomonadati, Pseudomonadota, Alphaproteobacteria, Hyphomicrobiales, Chelatococcaceae.
CCGCGGGACACUUCCCCCCAACGGGAAGCGCCCAUCUGAGAGGAUGGAUACA